CAGUCGAACGAGAGACCUUCGGGUCUCUAGUGGCGAACGGGUGAGUAACACCUAGGGAACCUGCCCGCGCACCGGGAAUACGCUCUGGAAACGGAGAACAAAUCCCGAUGUACAGGAAGGAGGCAUCUUCUUUCUGUGAAACAUCCUUUCGGGGAUGGGGCGCGGAUGGACCUGCGGUGCAUUAGUUUGUUGGCGGGGUAAAGGCCCACCAAGACGAUGAUGCAUAGCCGGCCUGAGAGGGCGGACGGCCACAUUGGGACUGAGACACGGCCCAGACUCCUGCGGGAGGCAGCAGUAGGGAAUUUUCGUCAAUGGGCGCAAGCCUGAACGAGCGAUGCCGCGUGAGUGAAGAAGGCCUUCGGGUCGUAAAGCUCUGUUGCGGGGGAAAAAAGGCAGCAUCAGGAAAUGGGUGCUGACUGAUGGUGCCCCGCCAGAAAGUCACGGCUAACUACGUGCCAGCAGCCGCGGUAAUACGUAGGUGGCGAGCGUUAUCCGGAAUGAUUGGGCGUAAAGGGUGCGCAGGCGGUCCUGCAAGUCUGGAGUGAAACGCAUGAGCUCAACUCAUGCAUGGCUUUGGAAACUGGAGGACUGGAGAGCAGGAGAGGGCGGUGGAACUCCAUGUGUAGCGGUAAAAUGCGUAGAUAUAUGGAAGAACACCAGUGGCGAAGGCGGCCGCCUGGCCUGUUGCUGACGCUGAGGCACGAAAGCGUGGGGAGCAAAUAGGAUUAGAUACCCUAGUAGUCCACGCCGUANACGAUGAGGACCAAGUGUUGGGGGUNAAACCUCAGUGCUGAAGUUAACGCAGUGAGUCCUCCGC
This 817-nucleotide ribosomal RNA is filed under the name uncultured bacterium. RNAcentral's name for it is "bacterial SSU rRNA". It matches the Rfam family "Bacterial small subunit ribosomal RNA", at positions 59 to 872 of the family's 1533-position model. The record is from RNAcentral.